AUUUAAGUAGCUCAGAGGUAGAGCAGUUGACUGUUAAUCAAUUGGUCAUGGGUUCAAUUCCCAUCUUAAACU
This 72-nucleotide transfer RNA is filed under the name Acrasis kona. RNAcentral's name for it is "tRNA-Asn". It matches the Rfam family "tRNA". From Rfam's summary of the family: Transfer RNA (tRNA) molecules are approximately 80 nucleotides in length. Lineage: Eukaryota; Heterolobosea; Eutetramitea; Acrasida; Acrasidae. The record is from RNAcentral.